Molecule: long non-coding RNA, 2673 nt
Organism: Lathyrus oleraceus (garden pea)
Lineage: Eukaryota; Viridiplantae; Streptophyta; Magnoliopsida; Fabales; Fabaceae
Exons: 8
Source: RefSeq, a predicted model, not a curated record
AAGCUUUGUGGUUCCAAGUAGAAGUCGGGUCUGAACCGUAACUGGAAAAACCCAAGCCAAAGCAGCAGGAACACGCGAGCCCCUUCCUUUCACAGUGCAAAUCUUCGAUCCCCCGCGAGCUCCUCUUCCUCCACUGAUUUCCACCGGUCCAACGGUGAACAAGGAGCAACGUGAGCUCAUAUCGGGAGUUCCAAACUGAGUUCGUCAAUGGCGACUAAUUUCGAUGCAUCGACAGACAAAGAUGAACGAUGAAGGUGAAUCAAGCUUACGGAAUUCUUCACCUCUUCAUCCUAACGUUGAGAUUCGUACAGGAAGUUCGCUCAAGAAUUAGAAUUCCAUAACUCCAAUCGAUCUCGUGUAACCAACAUGUAAGCGUUGCGACCCGUGUGGAAUUCAAACCUGGAAUUCUAAACAAAGAACCACUUAUCUUGAUCGGAUCCGCGUGUAGAUCAUAGCGCCCGAACCAAAUUUCAGGCGCAAAGCGUUCUUCAUGGCCCUCUCGACCCAAUGGUUUGGAGUUCGGUUUCGACCUGUCUCGCAACAAACGGCAAACUGUCAAAGCGUGCCUUCUGUUGGUGAUGACGAAAGCAACAUGAAGAUGGUUGAUUGUUCUUUAAUGAAUGGAAAUUAUCAGAGUCGCGCAACCGACCAAAAAUUUGCGUUCAUCCUGAUGAUGGUGAGCAACCGUGAUGAACACGUGUUCUGUGGGGUAUUUAAGGAGGUUGCAGGUUCUUGAGGAACCUUGCUGCCGUUUGCACAGAGUAGUUCUUGAAGUCUCAUCCAAUUUGUUGCAGGGUAAACCAAAAACUGCAGAAUUGAUGUUUUACGGUUAAACCCAAAGAAAAGAGUGAUUCCCAGGUUCUAUGCCGGAAGCAAGUUAUGGUGAAUUCAACUCCAAGAUGAUGGUUGAAGCUUGAAGAAAAUGGAGGCUGGAGCUUGAAGGUUUUGUUUGAAGAAUGAAAAUUGAUGAUUUUGAAGAGAAAGAUGGAGGAUGAAGAAGAAGAUUGAAGAAUGAAGGUUGAAGAAUUUGAAGAAGUGAUUGAAGGUCCUUGAAUUGAGGAAGCAGACAGUUUUAUUGAUGUUGUCCAUGAACCGUACCCGGAUAUGCUUGCUAGGGUUUCAGGUGGCUUAUGGAGAUUCAGAAGAGUGUCUCUCCGAAAUCUCUUUAGGGUGCUCAGAUUUUGAUUGCCCUAUUUGAUGUCUGGUCUGGAACGUGAAAAAACUUGGUGAAAAUUCAUGAGCGGUUUGACGCUUUGUAGGAUUUUGUUGAAGAUGAAGAGUAAAGCACUGGAAGCAUGAUGAGAUUCGCGGUUGAAGCGGUGAAUCAAUUUCGACAUAAACUACUCGUUGAAGGAUUCGUGAUGAUGAAUGACGAAGAGUGAAGCCCUCUACUCUGAAAUGCCGUGAGUCUCCGUUCUUAUCCCUUUUUCAAUACGCUUUCGAUUUCCUCUUCUUCCUGUUUUUGAUUCUUUUCUUUUCUUCUUCAAUUUCCUCUUUUCCUGUCGUGGCCCCUGUGUGAGUGUUGUUGUGAUAACUGGUGUCAUUCUGUCAGUAGAAGCUUGCCCAACCAAUUAGUAAGGGCGGAUUCAGGUUGUGGCUUUGAAUCAUGCUGUUGGAGGUUAGGUGGAUAUUGGAAAGAGCCUCCAACGGCUUUCUAGAAGCAUUCCAACUGCAGUUGCUGAUGAUUUUGCUCAGGUUAAUGGUUAAAUCAAUGGAAGCUAGUUAGUGAAACCGGUUAGCUAUAUCUAGAAAGCAGAAUGCAUAUUGGGCAAUAAAGUGCAGGUUGAGUUGGCGGUUAACUGAACUUACGUACAGAAAAUGGUGAUUCAAUUGGCGGUGUUAGGGUGAUGUAUAGGUUUGGGAGCUUGUUGCCUUCUAAUGCAUCGUCGGCAGAUGAAAGGGAUAACCCAAUGACACCACCAGACUUGAUUGGACUGUGUAGUUCUGUGGAAGAAGGAUUUAUACUGAAUACAUGGCUAUCUCAGGUAUCUCCGGGUUCAGGUUUCCCAGCCUCUGCUACAUGAGUCUUAGAGGAUAUUUUGGUACCCAUAUUCCUUUCCAAUAUUGCGUUUGCGAAACCAAGGGCGAUAUUUGUAAUAAUUAGAAUUAACUCUUCAUUUUUCAUUUCCUGCUGAAAUUAAUUUGCACCAGGUAUGAUAUUGAUGAUGAUGACGCAUUGGUUUGUGUUGUGUGCAUGUUCAUUUUGGCUGGAAUUGAUUAUUGUUGAUACUAAUGAUUGGCUGAAUUGUGCAUUGGUGCUACAGGAUUGAGCAUGCCAUUGUUUAGGCUUGUUUGUUGCAAGUUGUGCCUUGCCUUUUAUUGUUUGUUGCAGAUUCAAGUCCAUGACAUGGUUGAUGGUUGUUGACAAGGUUGCAAGCAUGUUGAUUGUAGGUUGUACUGGUUUAUUGCAGCAAGAUUAUUGAUGUUGCAUGUUGCAAGGUCUGUUGUGGCAUUGAUGAUGGUCCAAUGCAGGAUGGUUGGUUGCUCAUGAUGUAGGUUAGGUUUGUUAACAGUCCAUGGUAGGUUGAAGCUUGGUAUUGGCAUGCUUGGAAAGAGGAAUUAGAAAUUAUGACAAUGUUUUGAGCAUGUAACCUAUGGUUGGAAUUGGUUUCUAACUUUUAAUUUUUGUGAUUUGGAUGGAAUCGUAUUAUAAAGUCAGUGAAUUGUAUUGAA